AUUGAACGCUGGCGGCAUGCUUUACACAUGCAAGUCGAACGGUAACAGGUUAAGCUGACGAGUGGCGAACGGGUGAGUAAUGCAUCGGAACGUGCCCGAUCGUGGGGGAUAACGCAGCGAAAGCUGCGCUAAUACCGCAUACGAUCUGAGGAUGAAAGCGGGGGACCGUAAGGCCUCGCGCGAUCGGAGCGGCCGAUGUCAGAUUAGGUAGUUGGUGGGGUAAAGGCCUACCAAGCCGACGAUCUGUAGCUGGUCUGAGAGGACGACCAGCCACACUGGGACUGAGACACGGCCCAGACUCCUACGGGAGGCAGCAGUGGGGAAUUUUGGACAAUGGGCGCAAGCCUGAUCCAGCAAUGCCGCGUGCAGGAAGAAGGCCUUCGGGUUGUAAACUGCUUUUGUACGGAGCGAAAAGGCUCUCUCUAAUACAGGGGGCUCAUGACGGUACCGUAAGAAUAAGCACCGGCUAACUACGUGCCAGCCGCCGCGGUAA
This 493-nucleotide ribosomal RNA is filed under the name uncultured bacterium. RNAcentral describes it as "partial 16S ribosomal RNA". It matches the Rfam family "Bacterial small subunit ribosomal RNA", at positions 29 to 523 of the family's 1533-position model. The record is from RNAcentral.